GAACCGCAGGUUCGAUAGUGAAAGAUGGCUCUGCUAUCACUUAUAGAUGGACCUGCGCCGUAUUAGCUAGUUGGUAAGGUAACGGCUUACCAAGGCAACGAUACGUAGCCGACCUGAGAGGGUGAUCGGCCACACUGGAACUGAGACACGGUCCAGACUCCUACGGGAGGCAGCAGUAGGGAAUCUUCCGCAAUGGGCGAAAGCCUGACGGAGCAACGCCGCGUGAGUGAUGAAGGUCUUCGGAUCGUAAAACUCUGUUAUUAGGGAAGAACAAACGUGUAAGUAACUGUGCACGUCUUGACGGUACCUAAUCAGAAAGCCACGGCUAACUACGUGCCAGCAGCCGCGGUAAUACGUAGGUGGCAAGCGUUAUCCGGAAUUAUUGGGCGUAAAGCGCGCGUAGGCGGUUUUUUAAGUCUGAUGUGAAAGCCCACGGCUCAACCGUGGAGGGUCAUUGGAAACUGGAAAACUUGAGUGCAGAAGAGGAAAGUGGAAUUCCAUGUGUAGCGGUGAAAUGCGCAGAGAUAUGGAGGAACACCAGUGGCGAAGGCGACUUUCUGGUCUGUAACUGACGCUGAUGUGCGAAAGCGUGGGGAUCAAACAGGAUUAGAUACCCUGGUAGUCCACGCCGUAAACGAUGAGUGCUAAGUGUUAGGGGGUUUCCGCCCCUUAGUGCUGCAGCUAACGCAUUAAGCACUCCGCCUGGGGAGUACGACCGCAAGGUUGAAACUCAAAGGAAUUGACGGGGACCCGCACAAGCGGUGGAG
Molecule: ribosomal RNA, 767 nt
Filed under: Staphylococcus petrasii
Lineage: Bacteria; Bacillati; Bacillota; Bacilli; Caryophanales; Staphylococcaceae
Description: bacterial SSU rRNA
Rfam family: Bacterial small subunit ribosomal RNA
Source: RNAcentral